UAUUAAAAUGGAUGACAAUGAAAUCGAUU
This 29-nucleotide non-coding RNA is filed under the name Mus musculus (house mouse). The record is from RNAcentral. Lineage: Eukaryota; Metazoa; Chordata; Mammalia; Rodentia; Muridae.